UGACAAAUCUCACAACUAUUCCACAUGAAAUCCACACAUCAUCAUGACAUCUUCUUGAUCCCUCUCAAUAAUGUUGAUUUUUCAUAUUUUGCAAGGUUCUAGCUGUUUCUAACUCUAAUUCUAAUCCUUAAUCUAAUCUCAUAGUUAAUGAAGAAGUGAGAGUGUAUUAUAUGUAGUGUAUGUAGUUUUAUUGGGAUGAGGUGCAAAGCCGAGGUUGGAAAAUAGCUCAGUGUAUUGAUGAUGAUUGAACUUUUGCAGUGUUGUAACAGGAGUAACGGAUGUAUCUAUAUUUAGAAGUGGCAAGACAGCAGUAGAAGGGCACAGAAUGUGCUAGAAUCAUGAUGGACAUGGCGCGUGGUGUGGCAACACUAUCUAUAAUGCUCGCUGAUAUCCGCAGAUCUUAGGAGAUCAGUGAUUAGCUUUGAAUAUAAGAGAUUGCUACCUUGUUAAUACUACCGUGCGUACUUCACACUACUCUUAUCACUACCCUUUGUAGCCUACCUCUUACACAAUCCUAAUCGCUCUUAGCCUUAUUUGAGUAGUCCGUUGUUACGCACGCCCUAUAAAUAAGAACUCGCAACAUUACGCUGUAGUUAGACAACCCAAGAUGGUUUCCACAGACUGCAACAGUUGAACGAUCAAAUUCGCAAACGAGAGCAACAACUCGCCAUCUUACACAUGCGCAACAACGCCUUAAUGAGCUGGAGGCGCAGAUCCGUGAAGAUUCUUCUAUUGUAUUCCCGACCUAGCCCAAAAAUGCCGCCGUAGAACCACCACCUGAUCGAACCACAAGUAGCAAGGAUAACGAUGACGAAACACCGCCGAGAUUGGAGAUUAAGGAAUACUACAAAGGGUAGUGAUAAGAGUAGUGUGAAGUACGCACGGUAGUAUUAACAAGGUAGCAAUCUCUUAUAUUCAAAGCUAAUCACCGAUCUCCUAAGAUCUGCGGAUAUCAGCGAGCAUUAUAUAGAUAGUGCUAUGUCCAUCGUGAUUCUAGCGUGUUCUGCGCCCUUCUACUGCUGUCUUGCCACUUCUAAAUAUAGAUACUUCUAUUACUCCUAUUACAAGUGUGAAAAGUGAAUAGCAGAAGAUAGUAGAAAGGGAUAAUAAUAGUAAUGAUAUUAGUAGAUAGUAGCGUAGCUAAUCGCUAAGAGAAGAAAGAGAAGAGAAGAGGAAAGAAAAAUGUGCGAAGGACAUGCGUAUAUAUAUAUAUAUAUAUAUGUAUAUGCAUAGAAAUAGUGAUAGAGCGAGAAAAGGAAAAAAUAAACGG
This 1270-nucleotide small RNA is filed under the name Histoplasma capsulatum. RNAcentral describes it as "hypothetical RNA". RNAcentral also lists the same sequence under 1 other name. The record is from RNAcentral. Lineage: Eukaryota; Fungi; Ascomycota; Eurotiomycetes; Onygenales; Ajellomycetaceae.